GGGGUUGACCGGUUUUGACAGCUUGUAGAAUGGUCAUGUAAGCAUGCUGAGCCUCGCAGUGACGCUCAUAAAUCUUGACUGCAAAAAAUUAAUUGGCGAAAAUACUUACGCUCUCGCUGCUUGAUCGAAGAACAGUAGAUCGAAGCUUCAUUCAUUUACAAGGUAGAUGAACGAGACAUCUCGCGAAUGGACAUUCCUGAUUCCGGUUCGGAUUCGAGGUGCUCAUAAUUUCAGGAUAGCGAUGCGGAAGCUCCGUACGCAUAGCGAAACUUAGGAGAUAAGGUCAUGUUUAGGGUGUUUGUUUCCUUGCAUGACUCGAAAAUUAACAACAAAAUAAGCAUGUAGAAAGCAUGGGUGUUCCUUGUUUGGACGAGGGUUCGACUCCCUCCAGCUCCACUU
RNAcentral lists this transfer-messenger RNA (399 nucleotides) under Bacteroidales bacterium. It matches the Rfam family "transfer-messenger RNA". From Rfam's summary of the family: Bacterial tmRNA, also known as 10Sa RNA or SsrA, is named for its dual tRNA and mRNA-like properties. Its role is to liberate the mRNA from a stalled ribosome. Lineage: Bacteria; Pseudomonadati; Bacteroidota; Bacteroidia; Bacteroidales. The record is from RNAcentral.